RNAcentral lists this ribosomal RNA (455 nucleotides) under uncultured bacterium. Its description in RNAcentral is "bacterial SSU rRNA". It matches the Rfam family "Bacterial small subunit ribosomal RNA", at positions 340 to 787 of the family's 1533-position model. The record is from RNAcentral.
UACGGAAGGCAGCAGUGGGGAAUAUUGCACAAUGGGCGCAAGCCUGAUGCAGCCAUGCCGCGUGUAUGAAAAAGGCCUUCGGGUUGUAAAGUACUUUCAGUCGUGAGGAAGGUGUUAAGGUUAAUAACCUUAGCAAUUGACGUUAGCGACAGAAGAAGCACCGGCUAACUCCGUGCCAGCAGCCGCGGUAAUACGGAGGGUGCGAGCGUUAAUCGGAAUUACUGGGCGUAAAGGGCACGCAGGCGGUUAAUUAAGUUGGAUGUGAAAUCCCCGGGCUUAACCUGGGAAUGGCAUUCAAGACUGGUUAGCUAGAGUCUUGUAGAGGGGGUUAGAAUUCCAUGUGUAGCGGUGAAAUGCGUAGAGAUGUGGAGGAAUACCGGUGGCGAAGGCGGCCCCUGGACAAAGACUGACGCUCAUGUGCGAAAGCGUGGGGAGCAAACAGGGAUUAGAUACCC